CUACUUGCGCAGUGGCAAUAUCGUAACCAAUGAAGGUCUCCUGAGGUACGAUUAUUGGCUAGUUGAAACUUUUACUCAUGAGUUUAUUCUUCGCCUUUUGAAUUGCAGUUCUAUCUACCAGUUCAUGGCGCAACAGUCCUAAAGGAC
RNAcentral lists this small nuclear RNA (147 nucleotides) under Rhodnius prolixus. Its description in RNAcentral is "U4 spliceosomal RNA". It matches the Rfam family "U4 spliceosomal RNA". Rfam says of the family: U4 small nuclear RNA (U4 snRNA) is a component of the major U2-dependent spliceosome. The structure of U4 snRNA from yeast and human has been reported. U4 snRNA presents a k-turn RNA motif in the 5p-SL related to recognition of Snu13 protein. Lineage: Eukaryota; Metazoa; Arthropoda; Insecta; Hemiptera; Reduviidae. The record is from Rfam by way of RNAcentral.